CAGUGGAAAAUGGUAUACAGUGGUAUAAAUGGUAACAAAUCUAUAGUAACACAUGAUAAUAUGUUAGCAAUCCAGGAAUAUAUGAGGUGGAGUAUCUUCCAAGCUUCAGUCAGUACCUGAGGGUGGUAGGUGUUUCACUGCAGGAUGUUAAAUGCAGUCUUUCACUGAGUUCAGUGUGAUGUGAGGCCUGAGGGUGGUAGGU
This is a non-coding RNA of Pelobates cultripes (western spadefoot toad), 202 nucleotides long. NCBI's taxonomy places the organism in Eukaryota, Metazoa, Chordata, Amphibia, Anura, Pelobatidae. The record is from the annotation of a GenBank genome assembly.